CAUGCGAAUCUCGAAAGCCUAUCUCAGUUCGGAUUGGAGGCUGAAACCCGCCUCCAUGAAGUUGGAUUCGCUAGUAAUCGCGCAUCAGCCAUGGCGCGGUGAAUACGUUCCCGGGCCUUGUACACACCGCCCGUCAAGCCAUGGGAGCCGGGGGUGCCUGAAGUUCGUUACCGCAAGGAUCGACCUAGGGCAAAACUGGUGACUGGGGCUAAGUCGUAACAAGGUACC
This 228-nucleotide ribosomal RNA is filed under the name uncultured bacterium. RNAcentral describes it as "partial 16S ribosomal RNA". It matches the Rfam family "Bacterial small subunit ribosomal RNA", at positions 1264 to 1500 of the family's 1533-position model. The record is from RNAcentral.